GGAAUGGUUUUCAUUGGUAAGAUAAUGCAUUUGCUAAAUGUUCGGGCUUUCUCCCUUAGGUGUUCGAAUCACCUCCAUUCCG
This 82-nucleotide transfer RNA is filed under the name Marasmius crinis-equi. Its description in RNAcentral is "tRNA-Ser". The record is from RNAcentral. Lineage: Eukaryota; Fungi; Basidiomycota; Agaricomycetes; Agaricales; Marasmiaceae.